CUGGUGGCAGUGGUCUUGCUCUCCAGAAAGCUUUGUUUUGGGAGGUCUGGUGGUGUGUUUUUUUUCCUCCAGAUUGCUGGGGAUUUCCUCUGCUCCCCUGGGGACAUCCUGUUAUCUGAGCUGUGACUCAGCGGAAAGAUCUCAUUCCUUGUGACUGGACCGUUUUUCUUCCCUCUAGAUUUCUACAUGUGAUUGAUGCAAACAGUUUUUUUCCAAUCUACAACUCCAGAUGAAAUACCUCGGUUCCAUUAUGCAGCGUUGAUUUUCGUCGGGUGACAGGCCAGACUAUUGAGACAGGCUCAUUGCCAUUUUGUAAGAGGAAAAGAAAAGGAAACAGUCAUUCUCUCCUGUAGUUCUAGCAGCUGUGUGUGGGAUGACUUGGGUCUGGACAAGAGGAAACACCUUUUAAGGGUCAAGUGGUGUUUGGAGAGUAUUGUCUGAAACAAUUACUUAACGAAGUACAAGACUAGGUCAAAACAAAACCAUCACCGAUCGUGUGGACAGCAGCAGUGUAUAUGAUCCAAGAAGAAAAUGCGAAAAAGAUUGCAUGCAUUGUUUGUUUGUAUGUGCAAACAUAUUGAAACUAACUAAACACCAUAAAAUAACAUCAAACUGUCUUAGAAUUUCUGCCAGUAUUUGGGAAUUAAAAAAUGUGUGCCAACCUGAACCCAACAGGCCUGAAGAAAUGUUAUUUCCAGAAAUUAAACCAAAUUAAAAAGAGACACCAGACCAGCUUGACACAACCUGAAUAAACCUAAAGAGAAACUUGCUCAGUUCGAGAUGCAGUCAGCCUGAUGCACGGCGGUGCAUGUUUUGGCACCAAUCAUCUGUCAGUCAUGGAAAACAAAGCGACACAUCUCAAUCGUCAGACUUGAGACUCGUUGGUAAUGUAACCUCCCCUUUAAGAAGAGCGUGCCGAAAGCUCUGCUCAGACACUAAAUCAGAUGGCUGUUACACAACCCUGACAAUAUAAAUUAAGACCUCUCCUGGAUGAUCUCAUGCUGUUAAAAACCCCUCUCCUGGGGUUUCUCUUGUGUUUCCCCUUAAAGCGAAUCACAUCCCUGUGAACCAGUCUGACCCCGCUUCAAUGUAAAUCUCUGUUUCCACCUCUCAGCUGAUUAAACAUCAUGACUAACGUUUGGUCAAGCCUGCUGUGUGUCACACAAGGUUCCUCCACAGAGUAAUGAGCAUUACGACAUGCUGUGAGGUCGAGGGAGGGAGGCAGAGAGAAGUUUUGGCCAGUUGUGCCCAAGGGCCUCCAGUUAAACAGCUGGGUGGGGUGAACUCUGGCCUCGAUGGCCUGUACUUUGGUGAACAUGUCAGUUUGUCAUUUUCUCCUCCUCCCUAGAAAGACUCUUAUUAAUGCUAUUCCUGCAGCGUUACACCCAAAACUUGAGAGAAGAUUUUUUCACUAUGAAAAGAUUCGGCUGGAGAUAAAGUUGUAAACGCUUCGCUUUUAAAUGUAAUU
This is a long non-coding RNA of Scophthalmus maximus (turbot), 1468 nucleotides long. RefSeq lists it as uncharacterized. The record is from RefSeq and is a predicted model, not a curated record. Lineage: Eukaryota; Metazoa; Chordata; Actinopteri; Pleuronectiformes; Scophthalmidae. The transcript has 3 exons.